UCGAGGAUAUUUAGCAAUGCCCGAAAGGGUGACUAUGCGACGCCGCGUGUGCGAUGAAGGUCUUCGGAUCGUAAAGCACUGUCAGCAGGGAGGAAUCUCAUGGGCCUUAACAAGGCCUCGGGGUGACAGUACCUGCAGAGGAAGCCACGGCUAACUCCGUGCCAGCAGCCGCGGUAAUACGGAGGUGGCCGGCGUUACUCGGAUUGAUUGGGUGUAAAGGGUGUGUAGGUGGCGUACGAAGUCGAAUGUGAAAGCCCGUGGCUCAACCGCGGAAUUGCAUUCGAAACUGGUAUGCUUGAGCGAAUGAGAGGUAGAUGGAAUUCCCGGUGUAACAGUGAAAUGUGUAGAUAUCGGGAGGAACACCAGUGGCGAAGGCGAUCUACUGGCAGUCUGCUGACACUGAAACACGAGAGCUAGGGGAGCAAACA
This 428-nucleotide ribosomal RNA is filed under the name uncultured prokaryote. RNAcentral's name for it is "bacterial SSU rRNA". It matches the Rfam family "Bacterial small subunit ribosomal RNA", at positions 355 to 774 of the family's 1533-position model. The record is from RNAcentral.